This 663-nucleotide long non-coding RNA is filed under the name Vigna radiata. RNAcentral describes it as "long non-coding RNA (VRAD_LNC017931)". Lineage: Eukaryota; Viridiplantae; Streptophyta; Magnoliopsida; Fabales; Fabaceae. The record is from RNAcentral.
GAAAAGUCACUAUUUUAUUGUCUUUAGACCUCGACUACAGGCCUUCCGAUGUCUACUUGCAAUUAGACGUUGGCUUUCCCCAUCACAGACAUCAAACAUGUCCGAAAAUAUCUCAUUUGGACGCCAAUAUUAACUUUUUUUUGUCACUUAGGCAUCAACCUCCCUCCCCACAAAAGUAAAAAAUGUUUGAAAUUAUCUCAUUUUGGGCAUCAAUAUUAAUUUUUUUUACCACUUAGACAUCGGCUAAAAGGGGGCCGACGUUUUAGAGCACUUAGAUGUCGACUAGGAAAGGGGGUCGACGUCAAAUACUCUGCAUUUUUACCCAUUCCAGAACGUGAGCACCAGUUAGGCGUUUUCUCUCUUGCUGCGUUCAACUUCUUCCUCGACUUUCUCUUGUUCGUCAUUAACGUUCAGGUAAGUUUUCUUCCACUUUGCAUUGUUUAAAAUCAUUUUACACCAAUUAUAUUCCGUUUGGGACCAUUAUCUUUCAUUUGCAUUGAUUAAAAUUCCUUUUCAUUGACUUUUGGUGCAAUUCUUGUGCAUGUUCUAGGACAACUGCGGCGACGAUUUUUGAACCACUAUUGUGUGUGUUUUUCUCCUGACCCUCACAACAACACCUGUUUUCUUCCUCACCUUCAGAGCUAGUUUCAUUUUUGGGUUUUU